GGUUGGUCCAAAGGUAGUGAAUUAUCUCAAUUGUUCACAGUUAGUUACAGAUGGAACUCCUUGUGUACUCUUUCCCUGACUACUGCACUUGACUAAUCUUAA
Nomascus leucogenys (northern white-cheeked gibbon) is the source of this 102-nucleotide unclassified non-coding RNA. It matches the Rfam family "Y RNA". From Rfam's summary of the family: Y RNAs are components of the Ro ribonucleoprotein particle (Ro RNP), in association with Ro60 and La proteins. The Y RNAs and Ro60 and La proteins are well conserved, but the function of the Ro RNP is not known. The record is from Ensembl. Lineage: Eukaryota; Metazoa; Chordata; Mammalia; Primates; Hylobatidae.